Molecule: unclassified non-coding RNA, 425 nt
Filed under: soil metagenome
Description: partial contains 5.8S ribosomal RNA, internal transcribed spacer 2, and large subunit ribosomal RNA
Rfam family: 5.8S ribosomal RNA (bases 2-121)
Source: RNAcentral
GGAUGAAGAACGUAGCGAAAUGCGAUACGUAAUGUGAAUUGCAGAAUUCAGUGAAUCAUCGAAUCUUUGAACGCAUAUUGCGCUCUCUGGUAUUCCGGAGAGCAUGCUUGUUUGAGUAUCAGUAAACACCUCAACUCCCUUUCUUCUUGAAAUGGAGCUGGACUUGAGUGAUCCCAACGCUUUAUUCAUAAAGUGGCGGGUUACUUGAAAUGCAGGUGCAGCUGGACUUUUCUCUGAGCUAUAAGCAUAUCUAUUUAGUCUGCCUCAAAACAGAUUAUUACCUUUGCUGCAGCUAACAUAAAGGAGAUUAGUUCUUGUGCUGACUGAUGCAGGAUUCACAAAGACCGCUUCGGCUGUCUUUGUAAACUCGAUCUCAAAUCAAGUAAGACUACCCGCUGAACUUAAGCAUAUCAAUAAGCGGAGGA